AUUGAACGCUGGCGGCAUGCUUUAUACAUGCAAGUCGAACGGCAGCGCGGGCUUCGGCCUGGCGGCGAGUGGCGAACGGGUGAGUAAUACAUCGGAACGUGCCCAGUAGUGGGGGAUAGCUCGGCGAAAGCCGGAUUAAUACCGCAUACGACCUGAGGGUGAAAGCGGGGGAUCUUCGGACCUCGCGCUAUUGGAGCGGCCGAUGGCAGAUUAGCUAGUUGGUGGGGUAAAGGCCUACCAAGGCGACGAUCUGUAGCUGGUCUGAGAGGACGACCAGCCACACUGGGACUGAGACACGGCCCAGACUCCUACGGGAGGCAGCAGUGGGGAAUUUUGGACAAUGGGCGAAAGCCUGAUCCAGCAAUGCCGCGUGCGUGAUGAAGGCCUUCGGGUUGUAAAGCACUUUUGGCGGGAACGAAAAGGACUGUGCCAAUACCACGGUUCGAUGACGGUACCCGCAGAAUAAGCACCGGCUAACUACGUG
RNAcentral lists this ribosomal RNA (484 nucleotides) under uncultured bacterium. RNAcentral's name for it is "partial 16S ribosomal RNA". It matches the Rfam family "Bacterial small subunit ribosomal RNA", at positions 29 to 507 of the family's 1533-position model. The record is from RNAcentral.